Pipra filicauda (Wire-tailed manakin) is the source of this 1828-nucleotide long non-coding RNA. RefSeq lists it as uncharacterized. The transcript has 3 exons. NCBI's taxonomy places the organism in Eukaryota, Metazoa, Chordata, Aves, Passeriformes, Pipridae. The record is from RefSeq and is a predicted model, not a curated record.
CGCAGAAUAUCGCGAGUUGGAUCCACAGGGAUCACAGAGUCCAAGUCCUGGCCCUGCGCAGGACACCCAAGAGUCACACCACGUGCCUGAAAGCGUUGUCCAAACCUUCUUGGACUCUGUCAGGCUUGGUGCUGUGACAAUUUCCGUGGGGAGCCUUUUCCAGCACCCAGCCGCCAAAGGGUGAAGAACCUUUUCCUGAUAUCCACCUUAAACCUCCCCUGACACAGCUGAUAGCAUUACAAGGAGGUUAAAAAAGGGAAUUCACUGGCUUCUCAUUUGUAACUUCUCGUUUUAGAAUAGUAAAAUGAACUGGGUCAGAGGGGGUCUUCACAGGUUGUCUCAUUCCAACCCCACUGCCGUGGGCAGGGGCACCUUCCACUAGACCAGGUUGCUCAGAGCCCCAUCCAACCUUGCCUUGAACACUUCCCGGGGUGAAACAUCCACAGCUUCUCUGGGCAACCUCUUCUAGUAUUCUUGCUUCUAUGUUUAUGUCUUAAGUGCAUGAAGCAGUGUUUAGCAAAGUGCUUUUACAUGAAUUGGAAAAGAAUAGGCCUUGCGUCGGGCUUCAGAAAACCAGUACAGGACCAACAUAUGUGGAGCCAGCAGCAGCUAAAUCAUGCUUGCCAUUAUGUUUGAUAUCUCUGUAUGUUAGUUUGCAUUUGGAAAACCUGCUAUUCCCAUUUAUCUUUGUUUUUUCCUCCAGAAGCACUAUUUUAACAAAACUGUGAAUGCUUUGUUUACGUAUUAACAAGUUUUAUAAAAAAAAGGUGGGUUUUUUUUUUUAAGUUAAUGAUCCCUACUUGAAAUACUAAUACACGAACACUGUUAGUAGUAUGUAAUUAAUAAUAAGCGUUAAUUAUUUCUCACCUGAAGCACUGCACGAAGCAUAUUUUGUAAUUUUAUAUUAUCUCAAAGAUUCUAAGAAAAACUGUAGCAUUUAAAAUUGUUUUAUACCAUUUUGUCCAUCUGAAUGCGAUCCUUGAACUAACAGAUAUUUCAGACACAGUUAUACCAUCAUGCUUUCUGCAUUUUUUGUAAACCAUUCUACACCUUUCUGUCAGUAAACACUUCUUUUGAUUUAUAACUAAUAUUAUUGAGGUGAAAGCUAGUAGUUUUUGUUAGGUACAUGUGCAGGCAGGUUCCUUGUAAGGAGGCGGAAUUUUGGAACUGAAUAUAGGAAAACAUCUUAGAUCAGUUCAGAGUUUCCUCAUCUUUCUGUAACCAUAUUGCUAAGCAGCUUUGCCAGGCAUCUUGAUUCUCAAAUUAUUUGUUGUUGUGGGUUAGUGCUUGCUUAUCUUUUUUUUGCUAUCUCUUGCCUACUCAAGAGCUUGCAUGUGAACUUCUCCUUCGAUUUGUUUUAGAACUGUGGAACCAUUGGAAUAUUACAGAAGGUUUUUGCACAUUACUCGUUGUUGAUCCAACUGCUGAAGAAGAUGAUUUAGCAACUGGAACAGUAACCAUUGUCUGAUGAAGUAGGCAGACUCUGUUCUGUCCAUAAGCCAGGUGGAAUUCCUUUUACAGAAGCCAAGCUUCAGGACUAUAUCACCAGAGCAAUUACAAGACACAAAGAAGUAAAGAAGCUGAUUGACAAAGUAAUAAAAAGUACAGUGCCCAAGUGAACAAAAUGAGAGAUCUUUUCAAAAAUGGAUUUGUAAAAAUUGUAUUUGUUACAGUGUUCACAAACCUUUUAUACUAAAUAAACAAUUACCAAUACUACCUUUACAAAGGAAGUCCGGAGAAGCAAUGCAUUAAUUUCAGGGGCAGGUGGAUAAAGCCCCUAGGAAUGUAUUGUAACAAGCUCUAAUAUUCAGUAAAGCUUAGAAACAUA